GGUUUUAUGUUCUUAAGUAAAACGUGAUAGCAUUGUGUAGACUGCACAUUAUAUGCAGAAAGCGUGCACGAACAUAUUUAGCUCAUGUUGGGAUAAAGUAAGUCAAUCAAGUGAAUACCAGUUCUCAUUUUAUCUCGCGAUAUUCACGCACCCGAAUGCAUUUCGGGAAGAAGAAAGAAAAUUCCGCGCUCUUUUCAACGUUCACUGGCAACUUCCAGCUCAACUCGCCCUGGGUCUAUUCCACCAUCGAUCUAUUCCACCACCUCAGCUCAACUUUAUGGACACUAAGCUCACACUCUGUACAUGUCAUGUGGAGUCAGCUCUUUCACUGUGGGCUCAUGUUUGUGUGACAGUGCAGUAAGACCAUGACAGCGAUUCUCAGAGUAAUCCUGGGGCCAGACAGCUGUCAGAGGGUGGUGUUUCCUUCUGGUCUACCUUCAACUGUAACUGACCUAAAGACUGAGAUAAAGACUCAAUGUAAAAUAACACAAUCCUUUCGACUGCAGUUUAUGGAUACACUUUUUGGCAACGACUUCAUGAACCUCACUUCUGUGGAAGAAGUACAAGACAAAGCUACAGUCAAGGUCAUAUACACAUCCUGCAGUCUUGAUUACUGUACAGUACACCAGGCACAUUAGGAUUUUACCAUUCCAUUGUUUUGCUCUGUUAAUAUAGCAUUGUUCCAAAACCUUAAGCUUCCCCCAGUACAUUUAAGGUGUUUUUUCUUGUAGUUUUUUUAUAGAUGCAGAUGCAUUUUGAAAAAGCUCUGACAUGUUUUAGCCAAACUAAGCUACAUCUGGAAAGAAGCGCAUUAUUCAUAGUUUGAUUAGCCCAUGACUGUUGUUAUACUUUUUUGGGGCUCUUAGCUACAGUAUGCAGUACACCCCAGGAAGCAGUGUUGAGGCCUGGUUUUAGUACCACCAAGUUUUACAGUUUUGAUUACUGUCCAGAACUAGGCACAUUUUACUAGUCAACGUGUUAAUAUAUAUCUUGCAUUGUUAACAAGUCUUGACAUCCCCAUGUCACAUUAUGAUGAACUUUUAAUUUUGGAAACUCAGUGCCAUUUUUUUUCUAGCCACACCUGUGCAGUACAUUCAUUUGUUGAAUAAAAUAUCAGAAUUGAACAGACUUAUAGUUUUUAAUGAAAAUAUAUUGUUAAUGUUUACAAUAGUAAAGUGAAAUGUCAACAAUACAUUUGAUAAUUGUUUAUUUCUUUAC
Molecule: long non-coding RNA, 1218 nt
Organism: Pungitius pungitius (ninespine stickleback)
Lineage: Eukaryota; Metazoa; Chordata; Actinopteri; Perciformes; Gasterosteidae
Exons: 3
Source: RefSeq, a predicted model, not a curated record